Molecule: ribosomal RNA, 433 nt
Filed under: uncultured bacterium
Lineage: Bacteria
Description: partial 16S ribosomal RNA
Rfam family: Bacterial small subunit ribosomal RNA
Source: RNAcentral
AACGAACGCUGGCGGCAUGCCUAACACAUGCAAGUCGAACGAGACCUUCGGGUCUAGUGGCGCACGGGUGCGUAACGCGUGGGAACCUGCCCUUAGGUUCGGAAUAACUCCCCGAAAGGGAUGCUAAUACCGGAUAAUGUCUUCGGACCAAAGAUUUAUCGCCUUUGGAUGGGCCCGCGUUGGAUUAGCUAGUUGGUAGGGUAAAAGCCUACCAAGGCGACGAUCCAUAGCUGGUCUGAGAGGAUGAUCAGCCACACUGGGACUGAGACACGGCCCAGACUCCUACGGGAGGCAGCAGUGGGGAAUAUUGGACAAUGGGCGAAAGCCUGAUCCAGCAAUGCCGCGUGAGUGAUGAAGGCCUUAGGGUUGUAAAGCUCUUUUACCCGGGAUGAUAAUGACAGUACCGGGAGAAUAAGCGCCGGCUAACUCCGUG